AGUGAACGCUGGCGGUAGGCCUAACACAUGCAAGUCGAACGGCAGCACAGUAAGAGCUUGCUCUUACGGGUGGCGAGUGGCGGACGGGUGAGGAAUACAUCGGAAUCUACUUUUUCGUGGGGGAUAACGUAGGGAAACUUACGCUAAUACCGCAUACGACCUACGGGUGAAAGCAGGGGAUCUUCGGACCUUGCGCGAUUGAAUGAGCCGAUGUCGGAUUAGCUAGUUGGCGGGGUAAAGGCCCACCAAGGCGACGAUCCGUAGCUGGUCUGAGAGGAUGAUCAGCCACACUGGAACUGAGACACGGUCCAGACUCCUACGGGAGGCAGCAGUGGGGAAUAUUGGACAAUGGGGGCAAGCCUGAUCCAGCCAUACCGCGUGGGUGGAGAAGGCCUUCGGGUUGUAAAGCCCUUUUGUUGGGAAAGAAAAGCAGCAGGUUAAUACCCCGCUGUUCUGACGGUACCCAAAGAAUAAGCACCGGCUAACUUCGUG
RNAcentral lists this ribosomal RNA (492 nucleotides) under uncultured bacterium. Its description in RNAcentral is "partial 16S ribosomal RNA". It matches the Rfam family "Bacterial small subunit ribosomal RNA", at positions 29 to 507 of the family's 1533-position model. The record is from RNAcentral.